This is a small nuclear RNA of Gordionus sp. m RMFG-2023, 121 nucleotides long. RefSeq annotates it as U5 spliceosomal RNA. The transcript has a single exon. NCBI's taxonomy places the organism in Eukaryota, Metazoa, Nematomorpha, Gordioida, Chordodea, Parachordodidae. The record is from RefSeq and is a predicted model, not a curated record.
AGUCUCAGAUUCUUCGUACAACGCAUAAAACUUUCGUUUUUUACCAAAUAUUUCUGUGCGAAGGAUCUUAUAUGAGUAAUUUCAUCUAUUGAAAAUUUUUUUUAUCCCUUUUUCAGGGGGA